This 140-nucleotide small RNA is filed under the name Enterobacter sichuanensis. RNAcentral's name for it is "isrN Hfq binding RNA". It matches the Rfam family "isrN Hfq binding RNA". The record is from RNAcentral. Lineage: Bacteria; Pseudomonadati; Pseudomonadota; Gammaproteobacteria; Enterobacterales; Enterobacteriaceae.
AUCACCGCUCCAUCAUCUGGGCAUCGAGCUGGUAAAAAUAAAUCUUCCUGCUCAGCGAUAAUGUCCUGCAGGCCUAGCGUAAACUCAUGGCAAAUUGCGCCGUCAGAUAGCUGGCGAGUUCACGGAUUAUCGCUGUUUUU